Molecule: ribosomal RNA, 1343 nt
Filed under: uncultured bacterium
Lineage: Bacteria
Description: 16S ribosomal RNA
Rfam family: Bacterial small subunit ribosomal RNA
Source: RNAcentral
GACGAACGCUGGCGGCGUGCUUAACACAUGCAAGUCGAACGGAAAGGCCCUGCUUUUGUGGGGUGCUCGAGUGGCGAACGGGUGAGUAACACGUGAGUAACCUGCCCUUGACUUUGGGAUAACUUCAGGAAACUGGGGCUAAUACCGGAUAGGAGCUCCUGCUGCAUGGUGGGGGUUGGAAAGUUUCGGCGGUUGGGGAUGGACUCGCGGCUUAUCAGCUUGUUGGUGGGGUAGUGGCUUACCAAGGCUUUGACGGGUAGCCGGCCUGAGAGGGUGACCGGCCACAUUGGGACUGAGAUACGGCCCAAACUCCUACGGGAGGCAGCAGUGGGGAACAUUGCACAAUGGGCGGAAGCCUGAUGCAGCAACGCCGCGUGCGGGAUGACGGCCUUCGGGUUGUAAACCGCUUUCGCCUGUGACGAAUCGUGAGUGACGGUAAUGGGUAAAGAAGCACCGGCUAACUACGUGCCAGCAGCCGCGGUGAUACGUAGGGUGCGAGCGUUGUCCGGAUUUAUUGGGCGUAAAGGGCUCGUAGGUGGUUGAUCGCGUCGGAAGUGUAAUCUUGGGGCUUAACCCUGAGCGUGCUUUCGAUACGGGUUGACUUGAGGAAGGUAGGGGAGAAUGGAAUUCCUGGUGGAGCGGUGGAAUGCGCAGAUAUCAGGAGGAACACCAGUGGCGAAGGCGGUUCUCUGGGCCUUUCCUGACGCUGAGGAGCGAAAGCGUGGGGAGCGAACAGGCUUAGAUACCCUGGUAGUCCACGCUGUAAACGGUGGGUACUAGGUGUGGGGUCCAUUCCACGGGUUCCGUGCCGUAGCUAACGCUUUAAGUACCCCGCCUGGGGAGUACGGCCGCAAGGCUAAAACUCAAAGGAAUUGACGGGGCCCCGCACAAGCGGCGGAGCAUGCGGAUUAAUUCGAUGCAACGCGUAGAACCUUACCUGGGUUUGACAUGGAUCGGGAGUGCUCAGAGAUGGGUGUGCCUCUUUUGGGGUCGGUUCACAGGUGGUGCAUGGCUGUCGUCAGCUCGUGUCGUGAGAUGUUGGGUUAAGUCCCGCAACGAGCGCAACCCUUGUUCACUGUUGCCAGCACGUUAUGGUGGGGACUCAGUGGAGACCGCCGGGGUCAACUCGGAGGAAGGUGGGGAUGACGUCAAGUCAUCAUGCCCCUUAUGUCCAGGGCUUCACGCAUGCUACAAUGGCUGGUACAGAGAGUGGCGAGCCUGUGAGGGUGAGCGAAUCUCGGAAAGCCGGUCUCAGUUCGGAUUGGGGUCUGCAACUCGACCUCAUGAAGUCGGAGUCGCUAGUAAUCGCAGAUCAGCAACGCUGCGGUGAAUACGUUCCCGGG